AUCACUUCUCGGCCUUUUGGCUAAGAUCAAGUGUAGUAUAAUUUGGCUUCAGUGGUUCCAAAAGCCUGCUUGUAUAAGUUGAUAAUAUUGUUAUGAUGCAUUCCUA
Small nuclear RNA from Heterocephalus glaber (naked mole-rat), 106 nucleotides. Its record names the gene U2. It matches the Rfam family "U2 spliceosomal RNA". From Rfam's summary of the family: U2 is a small nuclear RNA (snRNA) component of the spliceosome (involved in pre-mRNA splicing). Complementary binding between U2 snRNA (in an area lying towards the 5' end but 3' to hairpin I) and the branchpoint sequence (BPS) of the intron results the bulging out of an unpaired adenosine, on the BPS, which initiates a nucleophilic attack at the intronic 5' splice site, thus starting the first of two transesterification reactions that mediate splicing. The record is from Ensembl. NCBI's taxonomy places the organism in Eukaryota, Metazoa, Chordata, Mammalia, Rodentia, Bathyergidae.